AUUGAACGCUGGCGGCAUGCUUUACACAUGCAAGUCGAACGGUAACAGGCCGCAAGGUGCUGACGAGUGGCGGACGGGUGAGUAAUGCAUCGGAACGUGCCCAGUCGUGGGGGAUAACUACUCGAAAGAGUAGCUAAUACCGCAUACGAUCUAUGGAUGAAAGCGGGGGACCGUAAGGCCUCGCGCGAUUGGAGCGGCCGAUGUCAGAUUAGGUAGUUGGUGGGGUAAAGGCUCACCAAGCCAACGAUCUGUAGCUGGUCUGAGAGGACGACCAGCCACACUGGGACUGAGACACGGCCCAGACUCCUACGGGAGGCAGCAGUGGGGAAUUUUGGACAAAGGGCGCAAGCCUGAUCCAGCAAUGCCGCGUGCAGGAAGAAGGCCUUCGGGUUGUAAACUGCUUUUGUACGGAACGAAACGGCUCUGGUUAAUACCCGGGGCUAAUGACGGUACCGUAAGAAUAAGCACCGGCUAACUACGUG
Molecule: ribosomal RNA, 482 nt
Filed under: uncultured bacterium
Lineage: Bacteria
Description: partial 16S ribosomal RNA
Rfam family: Bacterial small subunit ribosomal RNA
Source: RNAcentral